CACAAGCGGUGGAGCACGUGGUUUAAUUCGAUGCAAACCGAAGAACCUUACCUGGGUUUGACAUGUACGUGGUACGGAUCUGAAAGGUAAAGGACUUACUCUUCGGAGUGAGAGCGUACACAGGUGCUGCAUGGCUGUCGUCAGCUCGUGUCGUGAGAUGUUGGCUUAAGUGCCAUAACGAGCGCAACCCUCAUCAUUAGUUACCAUCAGGUAAGGCUGGGGACUCUAAUGAGACUGCCAUCGUAAGAUGUGAGGAAGGUGGGGAUGACGUCAAAUCAGCACGGCCCUUACGUCCGGGGCGACACACGUGUUACAAUGGGUGGUACAAAGGGCAGCUACCUGGCGACAGGAUGCUAAUCUCGAAAACCGCUCUCAGUUCGGAUCGGAGUCUGCAACUCGACUCCGUGAAGCUGGAUUCGCUAGUAAUCGCGCAUCAGCCACGGCGCGGUGAAUACGUUCCCGGGCCUU
Molecule: ribosomal RNA, 468 nt
Filed under: uncultured Proteiniphilum sp.
Lineage: Bacteria; Pseudomonadati; Bacteroidota; Bacteroidia; Bacteroidales; Dysgonomonadaceae
Description: bacterial SSU rRNA
Rfam family: Bacterial small subunit ribosomal RNA
Source: RNAcentral